This is a non-coding RNA of Artibeus jamaicensis (Jamaican fruit-eating bat), 489 nucleotides long. The record is from the annotation of a RefSeq genome assembly. Lineage: Eukaryota; Metazoa; Chordata; Mammalia; Chiroptera; Phyllostomidae.
CAUGAGAGAACAAGAAUCAGACACAAAAACAGCUCCUCAGAGAAGAGAAGUUUUGGAGUCAUUACAAGUUGUAUCAAGACAGAUAUCAUGAUGGAGAACAUGCUGGAGUGUGCAAUCAUAGUCUUGUGGCUUCAGCUUGGCUGGUUGAGUGGAGAAGACCAGGUGGAGCAAAGUCCUCAGACCCUGAGGAUCCAGGAACGAGAGAGUGUCAGCCUCAACUGCAGUUACACAGUCAGCAAUUUCAGAGCACUGCAGUGGUACAGGCAAGAUCCUGGGAAAGGCCCCAAAGUCCUCUUCACCCUGUAUUCCAGUGGGAAAGAACAGAAGAAUGAAAGACUAACGGCUAUGCUAUCAGAGAAGGGGAGUUCUCUGCACAUCAAAACCCCUAAAUCUGAAGACUCAGCCACUUACCUCUGUGCUGUGGAGGCACAGUGCUCCCCAGGCACCUGCACCCUCUACCAAAACCCUGCAGCUGAGCCUCUGGAAUGA